GCCUUGAAUGAUUUUGAAAUCAUCUCAUUUCUUCUAGCUGGUCUGGGAUCUGUAUAUGAUUCCUUUGUUACAUCUGUGACCAUGAGAGUUGAUCCUCUCUCCAUUGAUGAAUUAUAUGGGCAUCUGUUAGCUCAUA
Molecule: small nucleolar RNA, 136 nt
Organism: Quercus robur (English oak)
Lineage: Eukaryota; Viridiplantae; Streptophyta; Magnoliopsida; Fagales; Fagaceae
Product: small nucleolar RNA Z247
Exons: 1
Source: RefSeq, a predicted model, not a curated record